RNAcentral lists this ribosomal RNA (531 nucleotides) under Staphylococcus aureus. RNAcentral describes it as "partial 23S ribosomal RNA". It matches the Rfam family "Bacterial large subunit ribosomal RNA", at positions 960 to 1494 of the family's 2925-position model. Lineage: Bacteria; Bacillati; Bacillota; Bacilli; Caryophanales; Staphylococcaceae. The record is from RNAcentral.
AUGCCAAUUAAUUUAACUUGGGAGUCAGAACAUGGGUGAUAAGGUCCGUGUUCGAAAGGGAAACAGCCCAGACCACCAGCUAAGGUCCCAAAAUAUAUGUUAAGUGGAAAAGGAUGUGGCGUUGCCCAGACAACUAGGAUGUUGGCUUAGAAGCAGCCAUCAUUUAAAGAGUGCGUAAUAGCUCACUAGUCGAGUGACACUGCGCCGAAAAUGUACCGGGGCUAAACAUAUUACCGAAGCUGUGGAUUGUCCUUUGGACAAUGGUAGGAGAGCGUUCUAAGGGCGUUGAAGCAUGAUCGUAAGGACAUGUGGAGCGCUUAGAAGUGAGAAUGCCGGUGUGAGUAGCGAAAGACGGGUGAGAAUCCCGUCCACCGAUUGACUAAGGUUUCCAGAGGAAGGCUCGUCCGCUCUGGGUUAGUCGGGUCCUAAGCUGAGGCCGACAGGCGUAGGCGAUGGAUAACAGGUUGAUAUUCCUGUACCACCUAUAAUCGUUUUAAUCGAUGGGGGGACGCAGUAGGAUAGGCGAAGCGU